This 12661-nucleotide long non-coding RNA is filed under the name Nicotiana tabacum (common tobacco). Its description in RNAcentral is "long non-coding RNA (NTAB_LNC001321)". The record is from RNAcentral. Lineage: Eukaryota; Viridiplantae; Streptophyta; Magnoliopsida; Solanales; Solanaceae.
CUUGACUCAAUUGAGUCCAUAAUACAUUCCACGCAAUUCUUCAAACAACUCAACUCAAUCUACUACAACAUAAGGAGAUUCAAUAUCAGUGCUGAGUAAAGGCUAAGUUCGCAACUUAAACUAGUAGCUCGUUUACGUAAAUUUGGGCAGAAUCUCCCUUAUAACAAGGCCCUCAUCCAAUACGAUAUACAGAAAAUAAUAAUAACACAACAAUAACAACAUGUAUGCAUCAUGUUCUAACCUUAUCUCUAUCAAAAUAUACCACAAAAAGCCCACACACCCUAAUCGCUUCAUACAUAAAACGACAACCAAAGUAGUGUCAAACAACAUAAAAAAUAUAAUGACGAACGACCAGCCAACCACCCUGACAUUAUAUGGUGUUUAUCCACACCCUUUCUCCUCUCAAACUCCAUAAAAAUAGUAGCAAAAGAGGCAACCCAAAAGAAACACGAAACGGCCCACAAAACAGUCCCACAAGUUUAGCAACUCAAAAUUGAUUUUUCAGUUUACUAAAGCACGUUUUGACUUGUCUUUUAUGUUUAAUUGAGAAACACAACCAACAAUACAUAAUUAAGACUCUUAUCCAAUAAAUCAGCCAUGAAUUCAAAUUAAAAAUAAGUUUACAACCAGACAACAAUGUUGCAACAACAAACAACAUACCACUCUUUCGAAACUCGCUAGGUCUAGCCUUUACGAUCGAGUUACAACUUAUACAAGCAUAGAUAAUGGAAGAAGAAGCAAAAAUUUACCUUGGAUUGAGUAGAACCCACAAAAACUAGUCCUUCUUCAUAAAAUAUCAGUCCCCUAAUGCUGCUACAAGAAGUAGAAAGAGAAACUAGCAAGCUGUCCGAGGUUUUCGGCACUAGAAUCACAUUGUAACACCCAAAAUAACCUAGGGUUUGUGUGAGAUUUUUGGGGAGGAGUUGCAGGAGUUAAAUAUGAUUUUCUUGGUAAAAAAGAUGGCUAAAAUAAAUGAGUUGAUAAGCCCUUAAAAGUCCCCUCUUGGCCAAUUUUGGAGCUUUUAGUUGAGGCCUCUCCUUUUGGCAAGUAGGUGAUGCACCUACUUGUGACCUACCAGUCUGCGCAGUCUCGCAAAAACGUGAAUAUCUCUCUACUCCAAUGAUGUAUCAAUGAAUAGUUUACUUUGUUGGAUACUAGACUCAUAGAUAAUUAAUUUGGUAGGUAGAUCAUCCCGUAGUUCCAUGUAAAUUGGGAUAAAUGCUCAGCUACAUUUGACCUAAUGUUUAGCAUAUUUAUGAAUGUAUCUUGUGAUGACCUUUGCCAACUUUUGUUCCACAACUCGCUUGAAUUCNNNUAUCGCUAUUUCAACUAAUUUUGACUCAUUUUACUUUAUUUUGUCACAAAAUGAAAAUUACAAAAAUAUUUCUUCUUUUUAGUUGUUUUUAGUUUAUAUACCUUUCGUAAAACUAAAAAAAAAAUACAAAAAUAGUACCUUAUUUUUAUUUUAAUAUGAUAUUUGAAAAUACAAAAAAAUAGGUUUAUUUUUACGGUCAGUCUUAUUUUAAUAGUUAUUUUACUUAAGUAGGAUUAAUUAGUAAAUGAUUUCAUAUUUUUUAUCUCGUUCACGGAGAAAGAAUAAAAUUUGGGCUCAAACAACCCAUUUUAGGCCUAAUUUUCGGACCUAGCCCAUAAUAACCCAAGCCCAAUACCCCAAAACCCUAGACUUAGACUUAAAAGCAAUCCUAGGACCUAAAAAACGAGGGAGCCGGUUUUAUGAUUCUGAGAAACCCUAGGAGCCCUCUCCUUCUUCUUCUUAAGAACAAACCAGCCGCAGACCUAAGAACCCCCUAUCAUCGUCUUCUUCAACCCACCCAUGGAUAAAAAACCCUAGGCUUCAUCUUCACCACAAAAAAUGCUGCUCACACCUCUAUCGUCUCCCUCAUCUCCAGCCUCAAAAAAUCAGGAGCCACCGGACCUCACGACUCAACCCAGCUCACUAGAAUUCCUCCAUAGCCACCAAGCUCCCUCUUCUCGAAAACAAAAAGUAGCGACCACCAACAGGCGUCCUUCAUAACCAGUCAUAAAACAUGUCUUGUCGAGUUCGUUUGCGGCAUUAUUCUGUCCGGAUCAAGUCGAGUUCAUCACCGUCAUUCUAGCUUAGGUCUUAGUUCGAUAUCCUCAUACAUCUAGCUCACGUUUUUGGCUGUUUGUUUUAGUCGUUACUUCAUACCCUUUCAUCUAGGACAACACUAGAUCCUAAGACUAAGAACGACCUCUCCUGCUCUUCUUCUUCUUCAAUCGUCGACUCGCCGAAAAAACUCCAGCCACCGACGACUAUCUUCAGUCCAAAACGAGAGCAUCGACCAUUGUAUAUUUAUUCCUUCAAUCAAAACAUACAGAGAUCGAUUGGUUUUUUCUGCUUCCUGUUGCCAUAUAUUAACAUAAGAACAUAAGCUGUGAAUCUGAAAAUUAUCCCGUUUUCAAGUGUUUCUGGAUCUCAUCAGUCCUGUUGUUUUGUGUGUCGGUUUUCGAGUUUUCCGGUGCCAAUUCGAGUUCCCGUCUGCAGUCAGUUAAAUUUUUUAGUUCAGAGCAUUGAAACAAUCGAUUUACGGCCAUACAAAGGUCCAGUUCUAAACUCUUGUUCGCCAUUGAAUUUCUAAAUUGUCUUACUGUUGGUGUUUGCCUGAGAUGUAUGUUUGCCUUUGUGUUGCUCUUAUGAUUUUAACAAAUUGAUGUUUCUCAGAUCAAAGAAGUUAGUUGGCCAUUUUAUUUAGUUUUCCUUCUUAUUAGAAGAAUUAAUUGGUUGAAAAUACCAUGAUUUUGGUGACAUCUAAUUUUAGUUAUAAGAAACAAUGUGUCGUGGGGUUUGGGAAUUAAAAGUGAAAACUGCUUUAUUAACUUGACCGCUAUUAGCAUGCUAGGCCGUCAUCACCGUGGUAGGCGAACCUUUAGGUACAUUUUAAUUUAUUAUCGUGAUUAUGUAUACAUUCGCGUGACAUGAUUGCGGUUUCUAAAAUGAAUGUUCGUAGCUUGCUUUAGGCGCGACUUAAUCUAUAACCGUGAUUGUGUACAUUCGCGUGAUAUAAUUACGAUUCUAAAAACAAAACCGGAGUAUACGUUCGCACAACUUCGACUAAAUUUUUCUUAAUAAUAAUAAAGCGUGAUUAAUUGUGGAUACGUACGCGUGGCAUGAUUUUUUACGCGCCAAAUGAAAUGAGUACACGUACGCGUGACUUAUUUUAGGAUAAUUUCUUAAUUAAAUGAGGUAAAUGCACAUAGGUUCUAAAAUAAGGAAUUAGACAAUUUGAUUAAGCCAAGUAUGAUCAAAGCGACCGUGCUAAAACCACAGAACUCAGGAAUACCUAACACCUUCUCCCAGGUUAACAUAAUUCCUUACCCGAAUUUUUGUGUUCGCAGACCGUAAAUAAGAGUCAAACUUCCUCGAUUCGGGAUUUUAAACCAGUGACUUGGGAUACCAUAAAUUAUCCCAAGUGGCGACUCUGAUUUAAUAUAAAUAAUCCCGUUUCGAUUGUCACUUUAAUUGGAAAAACUCCCUUAUAUCCCUUAUGGGUGUAGAAAAAGGAGGUGUGACAACUAUCAUAGGACAAAAAUCACUCAUAACAUAACCUCCUUAUCAUGUUAAGCAUCCUAAUAUCACCCCAAAAGUACAUGUUAUAACAUUCCCAACUUGUCGACAUUCGACGAAACUUAUUUUCUAAAUUUUAUUUAGCUUCUAAGCCUUUCAACCAUCUUGGUAAUUGUUAUCCAUGAUCUUAAAUAUUUUUAAACUCUAUGGUAACAUGAUUAAAUUACUUUAUGUGAUUUCAAAGAAGAUCUCGUUUGUGAGCUUACAUCAAUUGACUUAGGACGUACUCUCACACACAAAAAACAUGGGUUGUAACAUCAUUCCCCCGUUUGGAACAUUCGUCCUCGAAUGUUGACUGAUGCGCUUAUCAGUCUCAUAACUUAUAGCUUUUAUGAAUAUCUUAAUAUUGUCCUUGCCCUCUAGGCCACUACUCUAUGAACAAAUCCAAAGGCCAGGGCAUUCCCCCCCUUAGGCCUCUUCCGCACACCACGACCUAUGGUCGGAAUUCUUCCAAUCUCGUAAUUAUUUCUACCUUCUGUCAUGCAGUUUGAACGACUCUGUCCUUGUGCGGGCGCCUAUGAAACUCUUCUUUCAUAUUUCCUCCAGCUUUUAGCCAACCUCUAGGCCUACUUUGUGAAUAUAUAUAGAACUAUGGCAAGCUGUCGCUCUAGGAAUCUGUAGGUAUACUGAAGUCCUUCACGUGGUACUUUGUCGAACUUACGACUAUUGCUAUCUUUUGUUUCAUAGCCUCGGUUAUCUAUCCUUAUGGAUUUACUGCAUCUAGGUAGGUCAUGCUAUACCAUAACACUUACUUCAUUUUGUUAUUACCGAGGUUUUGCUACCCAACUCUGGGUUACUCUCUCGUAGCUUAUCCUAUAUGUAUAAAUCUAAGUCUUUUAAUACUUCCUCAUUAUUUUUCAUCUUAAGAAUGACAACCUAAUCUUCUCUCAUACUUUUUAACUUUUAUCCGUCCAUCGUUGAUUCAGCUUAAUGUUGAUAUUAAUCUACACCUUAUAACUUGAAACCUCUUACGUAAUACAUUGAAGUUUGUCACUAGGGCUCACGUCUCAUCGGGGAACAUCUUAAGUGAUUUGCCUGAUCUACUUAGGGACGAUACUAUACUUCAAUAACCGUAUUUCAUAGAAUCAUAACAUGAUUCAUCUUAUGGGGGUAUUCUAAUCCUGUGGAAUUCAUGAAACCCAUUCUCUUUAAAUCAUUACUCAAUCAAAGGCCUAAACGUUAUUCUCUUAUCAUUUAUCACAAUUUCACUCUCAUUUUACUACAAGGGAAACAUUCCAUCUUUUCUAAAUUCCCUAGUCUUAAACUCCUCUGAGUUCAUUCAGGCUAUACUGAGCUAUUUAUAACUUACGAAAACCAUUAGCUCUCUUGUUGUGAUGGGUUUAAUCACAAGGACUUACCUAUUCUUGUCACCUUCUCACUCACCUUUUCUUAUCUUUACUCUUGUCUACCUAAAACCUUUUUGCUCUACUAUACUUUAGCUUGUGACCUACACAUAUUUUUUUAUACUACUCGCAACCUCCCUUUAACUUGUUAGCACCAUAAAUUUCCUUAUGUUAUUCUAGAACCUCAAGUGAGACAUCACGUCAUCUAUAACUCUUCUUUUCUCUCUUAACUAGACCUCUCGAUACGUGGAAACCAUAGGCUGGAAGAUAUGCCACUGAUGACACCACUAUCAUUUUUGGAUACUAAAUCACAAUGCUUCUAUCCCUCUAUCUAAAAUUUGGACUAUUCAUAUUCUUUUGCACUUAUGUAUCUCGUACCCCUUUACUCUUACCUUAUCUUUAAAUAUUUCAUCGUAUCUUCUGUCACUUUCAUAACCUCCCUUCCACAUAGGUGGAAUUCACAUCCAUACCUUAAAGGUCUACUAUAAUACUUGCACCUCUUAUGCAUAAACUAUCCGACGAGAGCUUCAUACUAACUUCUGCAAUGUUCUGAAUCACGAUUUCUAUAAUAAUCGGGGUGUAAUAAUCAGACUCCUGAUUCACUUAGCUAAUGUAACUCUUUAGUUUCCUCUUCUAUCUCAACCUUUAAGUAGGCUUAAGCUGUUUUCCAAUUUGUGACUCAAGGUAUUAGUUAUUGCUUUAGCCCUCCGUGGACGCUAUAGAAUAUCCAUGAUAUAACUUUCUAAUAAUUCAAGCUUUUGUCUGUGAUGUGGACUCAAUUCUUUCUUUUAACUUAUACUGCAGUCUCCUAUAGCUGUAGGUAUGUCUGCAUGGAUAACACUCCGAAAUCUUAAGUGCAUUAAUAACAUAACUAACUCUGCGUCAUUGAUCGAAUAAUUCCUUUCGUGCCUUCUCAAUUUUCUUUAAAAGUAAGCAAUUACCUUCCUUAGUCAUUCUGCCACUUGUUGUAUGAAUACUUGGCUUACCUUAGUGCCCACAUAUAUUAGAAUUUAGUGCAACUCAUAUGAUCAUAAAUAUUACUUUUGAUUUUACUUCCCGUUCAUUAAAAGUCAAAAAAUGGUCGCCAAACAUAAAAGUUCCCCAUCAGACGGGGUUUUAGUAGCCAGUCUUGCUAUCCUUUAUGCGUUCGGAUUAUCUCAGGGUGUGAUUCAAAUAUUUUACUUUAUUAUCUUACUUUCCGAUGUAAACCCUUCUAUCUUCAAAAAAUUGAAAAAAAAAUAAUCAAAAAAUCAAAUGAAAUUAAUAUUUCAUUAUCCAGGAAUGUCUCUUUUUUUAGUUCUGUUAAAUGCAAAUUUCAAUAACAUGAUAUGCUUGCGGAUUUCAUGCCUAGAUCCUGAAACGUUGUCAGACCUCGAAAUAAUGAAUAAAGAAUUAGAUCACAAUGAAGAUAAGUUUAAGGAAAAUAAAACAAAGAGUUGGAACAGCUGAAGGAAAAUUGGUUCUAGAUUGGAAAGGUCCAUACAUCUGUCUUGGCAAUGGCUGCAAUGGCCUUCAGUGUCGGAUCAAAUUCCUCAUCUUCACAAAUCAUUCCGACUAUUGGCCCGCUAUUGUGGGCAGGCAACAGAUUGUUCAUCACAUCAAGAGCUUCUUCAUCCUGAAAAACAAUUCUUUUAGAUUCAAUCAAAUUUUCAACUGCCCUUUUGAGGGUCCAACAAUCCUCUGUACUGUGUCCCACUGCUCCAGAGUAGUAGUCACAUCUAGCAUCAGCUCGGUGCAUUAGGGACUCGGGGUUCGGCCGGUUCGGGGCCAUUGGCUGCAAUAGAUUUAGCCUGAUUAGCUUUUGGAAUAAGCUUGAAUACGAUUCACCAAUAGGGGUGAACUGAUUCUUUCUGAAGGGCUCUCUUGGGCGAUGAUUGUAUUGGGGAUCAUUUGGCUGAGGAUUAUAUAGAGUUUGGUAAGGAUGGGAAGUUUUGGGAGGUGGAGCUCAAUUUUGUGGAUAAUGUUGUGGCCACGGGUAAGGUUGCGCGUUCAUCACCGCAUAUGGAGGUGGUACUAUGGCAUAAGCAACAUCUUGAAGGGGAUAAUAAUGUGGUGGGACGAUAAGAGGCACAUAUGAUUGGCUGAAUGACCUGCGGGCCCCCCUCGAGCUUGAAACCAUCAUCGCUCCCUCUUCACUCCCAUUUCUAUUCAUCAAACCAUCUGAACCAUUUUGAACAUCUGGUGAUGUGGAUUUAAAAGUAGCAUGACUCAAGAUUCGACCUGUUUUUAGCCCACUUUCUACCAUCUCCCCAAUUUUGAUAGUCUCAGCAAACGACUUCCCCAUAGCGGACAUCAUGUUCUGGAAGUAGUCUGCCUCUUGGGCCUGUAGAAAGACCGUGAACAUUUCAAUUUCGCCCAUUGGAGGCUUUACCCUGGCAGCUUGCUCACGCCAUUUGACAGCAUAUUCGCGGAAGCUUUCCGUGUUUUUUUUUUCAAAUUGGACAAAGAGUUUCUGGCGGGAGCGAUGUCCACAUUAUAUUGGAACUGGCAGACAAAAUCUAGAGCCAUAUGGUCCCACACAUGCCAAUGGGUAAUUUCUUGAUCCAUAUACCACUCAGAAGAAAUUUCAGAGAGGCUUUCCCCAAAAUAGGCCAUUAGCAGCUCCUCUUUUCCACCAACGCCUCUCAACUGGUUACAAUAUCAUUUCAGGUGAGCGACCGGGUCUCCAUGCCCGUCGUACUUUUCAAAUUUUGGCAUCUUGAAGCCAGCUGGAAAGUGGACAUGGGGAAACAUACAGAGGUCAGAGUAUGAGACACUCUUUUGGCCACUCAGACCUUGCAUGUUUUUCAGGCUUUGUUCCAGGCUCUUCAUCUUCCGAGCCACUUCCUCUUGCUCGGGAUUUUUAACAACCUUUUCUUACUCCCCCGAGAGAUCAUAUUGCGGAGGUUGAGUGAAAGAGUACGGGGUCACAUAUGUUACUUCUGAUUGAAGCUGUGGACCCUAAAAGGUGAACAUUGGAGGCUCAAUAUACGGCCGUGGUAAAGUUAGUUGUACUCUGGUGCAGACUGGUGUCGCAGAGAACAAUAUUGGAGGUACUAUAGAAACUGGUGCCUGGGGGCGAACCACAGAAGGCAUGCCAGGAACAUUAGACAACAUUGGAGGGUGCCCGCAUGGGAUGAGCAGGUUGGACACAUGGGAGUUGGUAACCUCACCUGACCUGGGGAUCAACUCAGGGAACCUAGGGAUUGCACUUGGCAGUUCCCUACCAUUAGACCAGGCGUCCCACAUUUCCAAUAUGCGGAGACGCAACAUAUUAUUCUCUUUAGCAACUGCUGAUUCAAGCUGCAGAAUAGCCGAUGUCGGGCUAUCCUCAGGACCGAUGAUUGGUAGAUUGCUUGCGGAGGCCAUCUGUGACUUGGGAUCUUGUGGAGGGGAGGCUAGACUACCAACAAAACCAACCACCAAAACCUGGCUAGUUUGCACACCCAACAACCUUGUUAGUUUUGAGACAUUUAACAUAUAGGAAAUUGCACGUUGGGAUGCAAUGCACCUAACAGUUAAACGCUUCUACCAUGUGUUUGAACGGUUGCAUGUUUCAUCCCGGCCCUAACUAAACCUUUCAGUAUGUACCUUUUUUCUUUUAAUUUCUGCCUCUCUUUAAGCACUUUUGAUUUUCUCAUUUUGUUUUUAUUGCUCUUUUAUUUUGGCACUCUCCUUUUUUUUUCUUUCUUUUUUUCAUUUUGUCACUCUUUUUUUUUCUUUUUCACUCAGUUUUUGUUUCUCUUUUUUUUUUAGUUUAUUUUUUCACUCAAUUUAUUUUAUAGCUAUGAUCAAAUCCGAUGAGGAUUACCUACGUAUCAUAUCGCCGCAUGAAUCAGAUCCUGCGUAGUUCGGGAAGAUUGGGAAUGGAGUAAAUAAACUAAUUGUUUUUUUACUUUUUAUAAAACUCAAACCAUGAAAGCUUUAAGGCAAAAGAAAAACAUUUUUUAUUUUUGAUUUUUUUGUUUUUUUAUUUCUUUUGGAAUUUUCUAAAUAAAUGCUUUAAAAGAAGAAAGGAGAUAUUUUUUUUGGAUUUUAAAUUUGAUUUUUCUUUUAUUUUCUAAAAGAAAGACUUUUAAAAAUUCCUUUUCUUUUGAUUUGAACUUUGGGAAUUUUAAAAGUAAAAGGAAAAUAUUUUUUUUUGAAUUUUCAUUUGUUUUCUCUUUUCCAAAGAAGAAAGAAAAUAUUUUUGGAUUUUGGAUGUUGCCUCUUCGAAAGAGGGACUUUUAAGAAAUUAUUUUGGAUUUUUGAGUUUUUUUUUUGUUUUUAAAUUACAAAAGUACGAUUUUUUUUUUUGGACUUCAGUUUUUUUAAAUUUUUUUUUGAAAGAAAGACUUUUAAAUAAGGAAAGGAAUUGUUUUUUUAUUCUGAUUUUUUUUGAAUUUUUGGGAAAAACCUCUUGAAAAUGUAGAUUUUUUUUGAAUUUUGAUUUGACUUGUGGAUUUUUGAAAGAAGGACUUUUAAGAAAGAAAUUCGGAUUUCUGAGUUUCUCUUUUUUUUUUUCUUUUUUAAUUUACGAAAGUACUAUUAAAGAAAAGCGAAAAUAUUUUUGGAGUUUAUUUCUCAAUUGUUUUUAUGGACAUUUACAAAAGAAAACUUCUAAAGAAGAAAAGAUUAUUUUUUGAAUUUUUGUUUCUGAUUUUUUUGGUUUUUUUGGGGAAAAAUACUUCAAAAUAAAGGAAACCCGUAUUUUGGAUUUUGAUAUAUUUUUUUAUUUAUUUUUUUUUCAUAUGAAAGACUUCAGAAAGAAGGAAACUAUUUUUUGAGUUUAAAAACUUUUUUUUUUGAAUUUUCUAAGGAAUGAUUUCUAAAGGAGGAACUAAAGGAAGAUAUUUUUGGAUUUUUAAAAAUUGGGGUCAGAACCGAUGAUGUUUGCCUACGUAUCUCACACCCAGUGAGAAUCAGACUCGGUAAUUCGGUCAGUUUUGACAUAGUAAAAAACAUGAUAUUGACUCACUUUUUUUUUUGAAAUACAUUUUCCUCUUUUUUUUUUCUUUUUCAAAAAUUUUGGCGGGGUUCCGAGAUAUUUUCAAAUAUCGGGAUUUUUCAGAACCGGGCGAAUUCUUUAUCCUACCUUACUCUUGAUUUUUCUCUUGAUUUUCUUUUCCUAGCUGGUUAACAUGCAAGCCGAAACAAAUAAAUAUUCAUAUAGCAUGUAGGAUGCAUCAGGAUGGUCGGUGUUUUUGGGUACACUUGUCCUAAACAGACCCAACCCCUGUGUUGAGUCCCCAAGGUCAAAUGCAUGUGAUGCAAAUAAACGUUCCUACUAGGGAUCCGACAUGAGGUUACGUUAUUCUAAGUUUAAACCUGGGGUUGUGUUCUAGACCUGGAUUACCAGAGCGAACAAACUCGAGCCGAAGAGGGGGCAACGUACCGGGAGCACAAAAGUCUGCCCGGCCUUGUUGCUGGCCCAUCCUUAUUCUAUUUGGUAUACCUUCUAACAAAAAAAGUGGGCCACGCGAACGUAUACACCGUUUUUUAGAAGACUCAGAAGAGAAGCGUAAGAAGACAUUUAAAUACAGUUCAAGUAUAUCAAAGCAGUAAAUAAAUGGCAAUUAGCACAUUAGGUCCACAAAAAUAUAGUAAUAUCAACAAUAAAUAAAGUCAAGUAAAAAUUACAUUAACAAGCUCGAAUUCUUGAACCCUGAACCAGAAGUUCUGGGUUCCUAUCCCCAGCAGAGUCGCCAGAGCUGUCACACCUCCUUUUUAUCCGCCUGAGAGGGGAUAUAAGAGAGUUUCUCAAAUUAAAGUGACAUUAUUCGAAAUGGAAUUAUUUUAUUUAAUUUUUUCAGAGUCGCCACUUGGAAUAGUUUAUUUGGUGUCCCAAGUCACCGGCUUAUUUUAAAUCCCAAAUCGAGAAAAUUUUCGACUUUAUUUAAAAGUCUGAGAACCAGAAAUUCUAGAUAAAGAAUUCUAUUAGCCCAAGAGCAGGUGUUAGGCAUUCCCGGGUUCCGUGGUUCUAGCACGGUCGCUUAGCGAUUUAUACUUGCUUAAGUUGUCUAAUUACUUAUUUUAGAACCUAUAUCCAUUUACCUUUUACCGCUUUUAAUUAUUUGAUUAUUCGUAAUUAAAGAAUUGAGUCACGCGUACGUGUACUCAUUUCGUUUGGCGCGUCCAAAAUCAUGUCACGCGUACGUGUCCACAAUUAAUCACGCUUUAUUAUUAUUAAGAAAUUUCGGUUGAAGUUGCGCAAACGCAUACUCCAGUUUUAUUUUUUAGAAUCAUAAUUAUGUCACGUGAACGUGUCCACAGUCAUGAUGAUAUAUUAAAUCGCGCCUAAAGCAAAGUACGAAUGUUCAAGUUAUUUCCUAAAUUUUGAGAUUAUUGCGAAGGCCAUAGAUUUGAAAUUUAUCAUUGUGAAAGAAAUGUAAUUUACCGUUUUGGAACAUGUAUGUACCGGUAACAUUGUUAUAAAGAAAAUGGAGAAGCUUCGGUAUAUAAUGGAAAUGGGCAAAGUUAGUACCUCUAAUGAACUGGGCCUAACAAAACUGAUUCUCAUAUGGCCAAAAUUUUUCUUUUAAUAUCAAAAUUAAUUCCUAAACUCGUUAGCCCAUUUUUGAGUUCAAAUCUCAUUCUCAAUCUUAACAUCCUUGGCCAGCAUCUCAUACAACAUAUUACCAAAUAAACUCUCAGCAAAAGAAAUAUCAAAAUCCAUGAAAAAUAACAGAUGACAUGUAAAUCGUGAACACAAACUCAAGGCAUCGAUUAUUCGUCCGAUAAAUUCAUUUUCACUAGCCAAAUUUAGCAAAGAAUUCACCAAGUAAAUAGACUAAUUCCCAGAAAUGUUAAACAAAUUACACCACAUAACUAUCACAUUUUAAAUCUAAAGUAAAUAAUAGAGGAAAAGUUAGAAAUCAAAACCUCAAUUGCUUUUCUCUAAGAAGCUCGAACUCAAAAAAUAUUGAAACAACGAAGUCAAACUUUCCGAUCAAACUUGAAAGAAAAUCAAACCAACGAACCAGAGACUUCACCGACGACCUCGAACGGACCCUCGCUGACAAACUCUAAACUCGCCGGUUUAAAGGGGGCUAUUUCGCGACUGUUUUGUGGUGAAAUCGGCAACGAUUUGAGAUGCUGUUUCAGGGACGUUUGGUUGGUUUUUACGGCUGGUUUGGGGCUGUUUUUCAGCUGCCUUUAGAGUCGAUUUAGCUGGUGUUUUUGGACUGUUUUGAAUCUAAGUUUCAGCUGCAUUUUUGUGGUAUAUUAAUGGAGUUUAAGGGGGGUUGUUUUGGGGUGUUCAUGGCUAGAAAUGAAGAGGAUGUAUGGUAGUUUUGGAGCAGAAAUAAGUUCAAUCUCGUCGGCCAUGGCUGAUGCAAUCAAGCGACAAAGAGCAAAGCUUCAAAGAUGACUUUUCUUUAUCUCCAUUCCACGCCACUUUCCUUCAAGAUGGAAUAUUUUUGAAUAGUCAAUGCCUGUGUGCUCCUUGGUUAGCGUUUUUUGGAAUUUGUUUUGAUAAAAUUGUCUCGAGUCUUUUUCCAAAAAAGGAUGUUGCCGUUCUAGCGUUUUUAGUGUGUAGGUCCCUUUUAUUUUCGAUGUUAGGGAUUAUUUUAUAGGGGUAGGAAUUAGGUUAGGUCAAAUGGGGAAUGUGUAUGGGCUCAAUGCUUAGGGCUAUUCGAAAUUGGGUCCUAAAAUUGGGCUCUAAGACUCUUAAAAUUGUGGUCCAACACCUUAGUUAGCUCCCUUUAAUAAAAGAUAAAAAUACUAUACAAUGCAAAAACUAAUCCUAAUUAAU